Molecule: long non-coding RNA, 560 nt
Organism: Cucurbita maxima (winter squash)
Lineage: Eukaryota; Viridiplantae; Streptophyta; Magnoliopsida; Cucurbitales; Cucurbitaceae
Exons: 2
Source: RefSeq, a predicted model, not a curated record
UCUCUCUCUCUCUGUUGCUCUAUCUGGGAAGUCGUGCGGUGGAACAAACCCCACUCUCGUCCCCUCACCGCUGAUUGUUCAAACGCCAUUUUUCCUUAAACCCCCCAAAAUCUACCCAAUCCCUCUGUAAAAUUUAGGGUUCAAAAACAUGUCCUGUCUUUUCCAAGCUCAGAUCCAGUCCAGCCAUGGAGUUUCCUGCUCUUUUUUUGAGUUUACUAAGCGGCGGUUUAUGCCUCGAAGGUUGAGAUACGGAAGCCAUAGCUGCCGUAAGGUUCACGAAGCUUCAAAUCGCUGUUCGUGAAGGAUUUGCCCGACUCGAAAGGCACCGUAGGAUUUUGUGCAUUGAGGUUGGGAAGAGGGAAUGAAGCAACUGGUCCGCUGAGCAUAGUUGUGUAUGUAAUACAUUGAUAUUUUGUAAAUUGAUCUGAUCUCUUCAAAUCAAUUUGGUUAGUAGAUUCAAUUUUCAAUUUCCAUCUCUUCAUCUUUCAGCUUUUUCUCUGUCCAUUGCCUUUCAAAUUGCAUGGAUUUGGUAAAUAUUAAAAAAUUGAGUAUAUCAUGGU